RNAcentral lists this long non-coding RNA (806 nucleotides) under Homo sapiens (human). RNAcentral's name for it is "HSALNT0109069". Lineage: Eukaryota; Metazoa; Chordata; Mammalia; Primates; Hominidae. The record is from RNAcentral.
GGCAUGAUCUCGGCUCACCACAACCUCCACCUCCAGGUUCAAGCGAUUCUCCUGCCUCAGCCUCCUGAGUAGCUGGGACUACAGGUGCGCCCCACCAUGCCCAGCUAAUUUUUGUAUUUUUAGUAGCGAUGGGGUUUCACUAUGUUGGCCAGGCUGGUAUCGAACUCCUGACCUCGUGAUUCACCUGCCUUGGCCUCCCAAAGUGCUGGCAUUACAGGCAUGAGCCACCGCACCCGGCCUAAACACAUAGUUUUUUUGUUUGUUUGUUUUUUGUUUUUACCUUUUUUUUUUCUAAACACAUAGUUUUAACCUAUCUUCCAAUCUCCUUCUUUUCUUAAAACUUGCUUUGUGGCCUCAGCAAGACAUCAAGACCAUUGAUCACGUUUUUUAUUUUUAUUCAGUUAUACUCUCACAUGUCUUUUCCAAACCAGCUUAGACUUCAUGAACCAGUACUUCAAUGGUUUCUUGACAGGAUCUUUAACUUCCUUAUAAUCAUUUUCUGCAUCAAAGUAACCAUCUGCUUUUCCCUUUAGGAAGAAAGUCACACAACCACAUAUUUUCUGAACAUAAGCUGAACUUCUACUUCCAUGGAGUGAGUUACUUCACCUCAUUGGCAAAAGACAACAGAAGAGUCCAAAGUCUGAGGGGACUGGGCAAGCUUCUGUCACAUGCUUUCAGAAUGAAGACAAUCUGCAAGAAUUUUAAGUUGUGACCUCUACAGAGAAAAGAAUGAAAAGUAGCCAAAUCUCCACAUGAGAGAUUUUGGACUAUUUUGCAGUGUAAACCCCAUCUGAUUUAUAUGAAGU